GGAUGUGAUGGGGAGCGAAAUUUAGUAGCGAAGUAGCUGAUUUCACACUGUCAAGAAAAGUCUCUAUCGAGGUUAAAGGUACCCGUACCGCAAACCGACACAGGUGGGUGAGGAGAGUAUCCUAAGGUCAGCGAGAGAACUGUUGUUAAGGAACUCGGCAAAAUGACCCCGUAACUUAGGGAUAAGGGGUGCCACCAUCAGGUGGCCGCAGAGAAUAGGCCCAAGCGACUGUUUACCAAAAACAUAGG
Molecule: ribosomal RNA, 248 nt
Filed under: Clostridioides difficile
Lineage: Bacteria; Bacillati; Bacillota; Clostridia; Peptostreptococcales; Peptostreptococcaceae
Description: partial 23S ribosomal RNA
Rfam family: Bacterial large subunit ribosomal RNA
Source: RNAcentral